UAUACUCCAAUAAAGAUGUUAAAAAAUUUUUUUUAAUAAAAAGGGAAAAUUUGGACACAUACACACACACACACACACACACAUAGGGAGAACACCAUGUGCAGAUGAAGGCUGAGAUCGGGGUGAAGCAAACCACUGGCAAACCACCAGAGGUUAGGAGGGAGGAUGGGGGCAGAUUCUCUCCCAUAGGCCUUGGAAGGAACCAACCCUACUGACACCUUGAUGUAGGACUGCUAGCCUCCAGAACAGUGAGACAAUAAAUUUCUGUUGUUUAAGGCACCUAAUCUGUGAAACUUUGUCAUAGAAUCCCUAAGAAACAAAUGUAAGUCCCUACAUGUCUUUUGUGCCCAGAGAUCAAAGGGACUGCUACUGAGCAAACUACAAGUUGCAACAUGGGAUCCAUGAACUCCUUUCCUGCUAUUUUAACCUGGAUAGAGACUUCAAAAUCUCCCAAGAAUUUUGUAUUCAUAGCUAUAAUAAAGAAAAGAAAACCAGGUAGGCGAAGAAGAAAAAUCUAAGCUUCCCUUCUUGCUCCAAUUACUCUGCCUUUCAAAAAUUAGUUAAUUGUGGGGCUAGUUUUCAUUAUAGGUGAGGAGAUAGGGAACAAGUAGAAUUAGAAUAGUAAUAGAGUCAGAAUAAUUAAGAAAUAAAACCUAUACCUGGCAAAGAACCAAGGGAGUGCCCUCCCUUGUAUGUUUACUUUGUGUAUAUCCUUUUAUGUAAAAAUAGUUCAUUGCAUCACAUUUAAUUUUAGUAGCAGGGAAACACAGGCUUAUUAUUUACCUGUGAGCCUAACUACAGAUUCAAGGGCCUUCUGAAAUUCAGAAUCACAUGAACUCCAAGUUAUUCCAGGCCUCCUCCUCUCUCCUCUGUAAACAAUGAAGAAAUGAGCACCAACAGGCAGAAGGAAGAAAAGGGAGCCUCUUACCUCCAUGCUUGUGCUGAACGCUCUAGUAACUUUCGCUUUGAUGGUUAUAACUUGUCCAACUCUAGAUUAAAAAAAAAAAACAACAGUAAUUCUAGCACAUCUCAUUUCAGACUUGGAGAUUCACUUAAAUGUUUGUGCCAUAGAACAGUUCCACCUUAUGCUGAUAAUGUUCAUGCAUGAGAAACUCAAUAACAUAACGAGACAGCACUAAAAAUAGAUACUGAUUAUUGUAAACCACACAAGAGUUAGCUGACUACCUCUUUUUAACAGAAAACGGCCUUUGCAAAGAUGGUGUGCAAAAUGAUUUCCAAAUCUACAACAGAUACUUGACUGUACCACAGCUGUUCGGUUAAGAGAAAACGAACACACAUGCAAACCUAUACAAUUGAUAUUUUUAAAUGUUGGUUAACAAAUAAAUGGUAAACAUACAAGCAAGCAAACAAACUGAAUACCUUUACUCGGUUUACAGGAGCCCUCAAUGUUGCCAGAUGAUCCAUUCACUCCACAUUAUUACUGGGACUCUGGUCAUGUAACCCUAGUUGUUUCAAAGCUUUUGUGUUCUGGCCCUUCAGUCACCUAAGGGUCUACCCAAUAUAAGCCUCCUCAGUUUUUCUCCCUGACUUCAAAGUUGAACUACAUUCUCACUAUUCUUCUCAAUCUUCUGUUUCAGGGGAAGAAAAAUAGAUCUCUUCCAGACCUCUUUCUUUACCCGUGCCCUUGAUCCCAUCCUACUCUUACCUUUCUUCCUGCACCAUGGCCUGGCUUAGGCAGCUCUUUCCUCUUUUGUACCCUCAAUCUCUGCCCCUUCCUUGACUCCUUCUCAGUCUGUGAAAAUGUUCAAGGCUUUUCCUUGCUAAAAAUCUUUCUCUCAAGUUUAUUCUAUCACAACAUUUUUUUCUCUUCUCCUCUAUAUUUCUCCAUAUUCAAACUUCCUAAAAUAAUCUUUUUCUUUUUCCAGCUCAUACAUUUAACAAAUGUUUACUGAGUUACAACUAGUCCUGGCACGAAACUAAGACCUCAGGAUACAGUGAUUAACAAGAUAAGGUUGAUGACAUCAAGGAGACCAGUCUUCACUUGGGACAUCAGGAUGCAGACAGGUGAAGUGCAACGCUAUGAAAUUUUUCAAAAGGAAGAAAGAAUCAAGUAUUGCAAAAACACCCAGAAGUGACUAAUGUGAAAAGUCAGGGAAGGAGCCAUAGAAGAGUGUGACAGAUAUGAAUUCAACAGGACCAGUCUGUUCUGGUUCUUGGUUUUGAUUGCCCUUCAUGCAGUAUGCCAGUAAAAGUGGAGAAACCCUAAAGCUAUUUCUGAUUUCCUGGGGAAACUGAGAGAAGCUGAGGAACAGCUAAGUGGAUAUAGUCCAGGUAUGAUGACUGAUAAAAAUGACGGUGGCUUCAUUCAUUCUUUCUUUUAACUAAUAUUGAUUGAACACUUGUGCUAUGCCAGCCUCUCUGUAAGGUGCUGGAAAUAUAAAACAGCUACUAUCCCUAUUCUCAUGGAAUCUAGUGAGGAGCCAGACAUUAAUUAAAUGAAUACAUAAUAACAAAAUGAGUUAGGUGAUCUGAAGGAAACAUGGAUUUUGUGAGGGUCUGUAAACUGAGGAACCACACCUAGGUGGCAUGUCAGGGAAGGUUUCCCUGUGGAGAGGAUGCUUGAAGUAAGAUCUGAAAGAUGAGAAGGAGUAAAACAGUUGUGUGUUGUGGAGGAGAGCAGGGAAGGGCUUGCUGGGCAGAAGGAACAGUGACUACAAAGGUCCUGGGGUUUUUGUGGCAAAAAUGCAAAAAGCAAGAAGGAGAGUAGGUAAGAUAAGGCUGAGGGGAAGGCUGAGGAUAAACCAUGCACAGGGCCUUGAAGCUCUUGGUUGACAAUUUUUAUAAUAUUUAGUAUUAAAGAUAUUGUUUCAGUAUCUUCUGGUCUCCAGAUGAGGCCGGUGGCUAAUUCUAACAAGGUCAGUGGCUAAUUCUAAUCCUUGUUUUCCUACAAGGAUUAACAUUAACCGUGUUUCCAAACCAACUUUAUCAUAAAGGUUUCUUCAAUAUUGUAUUAUUAGUAAUAUAACUAUUAAGGUCCACAGUAAUUGGUUAUCAAUUGACUCCUGCUGUGAUCCGAGUUUCCAAAGGUGUAAAACCAUAGAAAUCUUAAUGAAAAUUGCAGGAGGGCAAUUGUUUCUCCAUUAUAGGACAGAAGCACUAAGUGAGGUAACUUUAAAAGUCACAUCAAUAUUCACAUAAUGAAUUCAGUUGCCAUGGCAAUAGGCAUGGCAACUGAAUAAUUUCUAUACUUGUUUCUCAUACAUGUGAAUUACUUUUAUAUUCAUGUCUCCAUUAUUGUUAUUAUAACAGACCUCAAAUCCUGAUAAAAACUGUUAAGACAGAAACCAAACAGACCUAUCAACAAACAGAAAAUAAACAGAUUGGCAUCAGAUAUAUGACUGAAUUUUGCGGGUGGUUAACACACAGGGGAUUAGAAACUCUAUGCACACUCAUUGAAGAAAACAGGAAUUUGUAAUCAGCUGAGCUUUACUUUUGUCCUGUAUAAAAUAAGAGUCCUGGGAUACACGAUCUUAAGCUCCUUCCAGCUCUAAUAUUUUAUCCUAACAUAUUUUACUUAAAAUGUACAUUUGCUGAGUCUAUUAAGUGCCUUACGCAAACAAAGCCUGGCUUCCUUUUAGAAAUGAGAUUCCAAGUUCUGGACCCAUCCAUCCAAUUACCCAUCCAUAUAAUCAGGAAGUUUUUAUUUAGUGCUUACUUAUUAAGUGCUUACUAAGCUUCAGUUUACAUGCUAAUUGGCCAGGCAGGAAAUAAAAGGUGAACAUAUAUGUACACAAAGUAAUUACGGAUUGUGCUAAGUGGUGUGGAGGAAUUUGGAAAGGGUGUUGUGAUGAAAGGGUGCAAAUGUAAAGCAGGUAGUUAGGAAAGACUGCUCUGCAUAAAUGAUAUUUAGUGGAGAUGGAAUGCAUGGAAAGGCCCAAGAGAAGAGUGUAAAGGCAAAAAUAACAGCAGGUGCAAAGGUCCUUCGCAGAGACUACAUGACGGUGUGGAAGGCAACAAACUGAAUUCAGAAGCAGAUAUAAGAGGUGAGUGAUGUAUUAAACUAGACAUUAAAGAGAUUUGCAGAAAUGUAAACCAGUACUCUACAUUUUUGUUCUUGCUGAAAAUAUAGUUAUUUUACAAUAAAAACAUGUAAUGG
Aethalodelphis obliquidens (Pacific white-sided dolphin) is the source of this 4117-nucleotide long non-coding RNA. RefSeq lists it as uncharacterized. The record is from RefSeq and is a predicted model, not a curated record. The transcript is spliced from 2 exons. NCBI's taxonomy places the organism in Eukaryota, Metazoa, Chordata, Mammalia, Artiodactyla, Delphinidae.